This is a non-coding RNA of Acanthosepion pharaonis, 114 nucleotides long. The record is from the annotation of a GenBank genome assembly. Lineage: Eukaryota; Metazoa; Mollusca; Cephalopoda; Sepiida; Sepiidae.
CUUGCAGCCAUAUCACAUUUAAACACCAAUUCUCAUGCAAUCACUAAAGUUAAGCAAUGUUGAGUCUGGUCAGUACUUAAAUGGGUGACCACUUGGAAAUACCAGGUGUUGUAG